CCGGAAACAGAAUUGAUUAGUUCACCUCUGGAGUCUUUGGUUCACUUCACAGCCCCACUGCCUUCAGAAUAUGGGGCAGUCACAUGAUGAACGAAUGCCUCGAACCUGAAGACUUGAGACGCGAACUAAUCAAAUGUAACGUGACAAAAGAAGAACGACUCGGAUCGGGAGGAGCUGAGUGCUUCCAGAGGCUGGGGGAGGUCCUUUGAGGCACCUUGGGCUUUACUUAAUUAAGGGUCGUUAUUAUUGCUGUGUUUUAUUUGCAGUGAAUUUUGUGGGUAUGAUUCUGAUUAGUGGGGUGCUUUUCCCUUUUGUACAGCUGGUGCUGUCGUGCUAGCCUGCCCUUCAUACAGGAAGCCUCAGUCCUCCUAUGAUUAUUGUUCAUUUUCUCUUGUGACUGCUUUAUUUGACCAACACCUGACUGUGUUGGCUGCUUUUUAAAAAAAU
Molecule: long non-coding RNA, 447 nt
Organism: Ictalurus punctatus (channel catfish)
Lineage: Eukaryota; Metazoa; Chordata; Actinopteri; Siluriformes; Ictaluridae
Source: Ensembl